CCACUGGUGGUUUAGUGGUAGAAUUCUUGCCUUCCAAGUGGGAGACCCAGGUUCAAUUUCUGGCCAAUGUA
Molecule: transfer RNA, 71 nt
Filed under: Loxodonta africana (African savanna elephant)
Lineage: Eukaryota; Metazoa; Chordata; Mammalia; Proboscidea; Elephantidae
Rfam family: tRNA
About the family: Transfer RNA (tRNA) molecules are approximately 80 nucleotides in length. Their secondary structure includes four short double-helical elements and three loops (D, anti-codon, and T loops).
Source: Rfam by way of RNAcentral